RNAcentral lists this ribosomal RNA (271 nucleotides) under uncultured bacterium. RNAcentral's name for it is "partial 16S ribosomal RNA". It matches the Rfam family "Bacterial small subunit ribosomal RNA", at positions 505 to 776 of the family's 1533-position model. The record is from RNAcentral.
GUGCCACAGCCGCGGUAAUACAGAGGUCCCAAGCGUUGUUCGGAUUCACUGGGCGUAAAGGGUGCGUAGGCGGUGGGGAAAGUUUGGUGUGAAAUCUUCGGGCCCAACCCGGAAACUGCACUAAAAACUUCCUCGCUCGAGGACUGGAGGGGAGACUGGAAUUCUCGGUGUAGCGGUGAAAUGCGUAGAUAUCGAGAGGAACACCUGUGGCGAAGGCGAGUCUCUGGACAGUUUCUGACGCUGAGGCACGAAAGCUAGGGGAGCAAACAGG